GACGGGGGGGGCAAGUGUUCUUCGGAAUGACUGGGCGUAAAGUGCACUUAGGCGGUGAAUCGGGUUGAAAGUGAAAGUCGCCAAAAAGUGGCGGAAUGCUCUCGAAACCAAUUCACUUGAGUGAGACAGAGGAGAGUGGAAUUUCGUGUGUAGGGGUGAAAUCCGUAGAUCUACGAAGGAACGCCAAAAGCGAAGGCAGCUCUCUGGGUCACUACCGACGCUGGGGUGCGAAAGCAUGGGGAGCGAACAGG
This 251-nucleotide ribosomal RNA is filed under the name uncultured bacterium. RNAcentral's name for it is "partial 16S ribosomal RNA". It matches the Rfam family "Bacterial small subunit ribosomal RNA", at positions 524 to 776 of the family's 1533-position model. The record is from RNAcentral.